UGGGGGAUAUUGCACAAUGGGCGAAAGCCUGAUGCAGCGACGCCGCGUGGGGGAUGAAGGCUUUCGGGUUGUAAACCUCUUUCGCUAUCGAACAAGGCCCGCUUAGGGUGGGUUGAGGGUAGGUGGAGAAGAAGCGCCGGCUAACUACGUGCCAGCAGCCGCGGUAAUACGUAGGGCGCGAGCGUUGUCCGGAAUUUUUGGGCGUAAAGGGCUUGUAGGCGGCUUGUUGCGCCUGCUGUGAAAACGCGGGGCUUAACUUCGCGCGUGCAGUGGGUACGGGCCAGCUUGAGUGUGGUAGGGGUGACUGGAAUUCCAGGUGUAGCGGUGGAAUGCGCAGAUAUCUGGAGGAACACCGAUGGCGAAGGCAGGUCACUGGGCCAUUACUGACGCUGAGGAGCGAAAGCAUGGGUAGCGAACAGG
RNAcentral lists this ribosomal RNA (420 nucleotides) under bacterium. RNAcentral's name for it is "partial 16S ribosomal RNA". It matches the Rfam family "Bacterial small subunit ribosomal RNA", at positions 355 to 776 of the family's 1533-position model. The record is from RNAcentral.